This 342-nucleotide long non-coding RNA is filed under the name Homo sapiens (human). RNAcentral describes it as "HSALNT0298169". The record is from RNAcentral. Lineage: Eukaryota; Metazoa; Chordata; Mammalia; Primates; Hominidae.
AGGAAUGCAGGGUAUUUUUAGCGAAGAGAUUCUGCUUCAGGCAUGGGCAUUGUGUUCUUCCAAUUACAGGCAUGGCCGAGGAGGGCUGGGCGCCGAAUCACUUGAAAGAUCAGCAGGCUCAGCUGAGAAAUUCAUAGAAAAAAGAGAACUGACUGCUCAGGUGACAUGGAGGUAGAUCCCAGGAAGGAAGGAAGGGAGAGCAGGAAAGAAAUUGCCUGGGGGUUGAAGAGCUACCGAAGAGAAACUACCCAGCCACGAAACCACAUUUAUUGAGCUCGACCAUAAGAGAACAGGGUCUCACUCUGCCACCCAGGCUGGAGUGCAGUGGUGUGCUCAUAAUUC